UUGGAGGGCAAGUCUGGUGCCAGCAGCCGCGGUAAUUCCAGCUCCAAUAGCGUAUAUUAAAGUUGUUGCAGUUAAAAAGCUCGUAGUUGAAUUUCGGGAUCAGUACGCUGGUCGUGCCUUCGGUAUGUACUGGUGUUACUGGUUCCUACCUUCUGACGAACCGUCAUGUCAUUAAUUUGGUGUGGCGGGGAAUCAGGACUGUUACUUUGAAAAAAUUAGAGUGUUUAAAGCAGGC
This 235-nucleotide ribosomal RNA is filed under the name uncultured fungus. Its description in RNAcentral is "partial 18S ribosomal RNA". It matches the Rfam family "Eukaryotic small subunit ribosomal RNA", at positions 548 to 785 of the family's 1831-position model. Lineage: Eukaryota; Fungi. The record is from RNAcentral. RNAcentral also lists the same sequence under 1 other name.